AACAGGCCAGAGCCCGGCAGCAGAAGCUUGCACUAUAAACGCUCCCUCCGCGCGGCGGACACAGGUCCAGGCUGGUACCGCGCGCACACGGACGCCUCGCAGGACCUGGGCUAAUAAGGAGAGGAGAUCAGCACGGUAUAGCUGCGGACCAACUGUAUAUGAUCAUGCGCACCUUGGCCAUGCUUGCUCAUAUGUUAGAUUUGAUAUCAUUCGAAGGAUCCUAACCAAGGUUUUUGGAUGCAACAUAGUCAUGGUGAUGGGUAUUACGGAUGUAGAUGACAAAAUCAUCAAAAGAGCCAAUGAGAUGAAUAUUUCCCCUGCUUCCCUCGCCAGUCUUUAUGAGGAAGACUUCAAGCAGGACAUGGCAGCCCUGAAGGUUCUCCCACCCACAGUGUACCUGAGGGUAACCGAAAAUAUUCCUCAGAUAAUUUCUUUCAUUGAAGGAAUCAUUGCUCGUGGGCACGCUUAUUCAACGGCAAAAGGCAAUGUCUACUUUGAUCUGAAGUCUAGAGGAGACAAGUAUGGCAAACUGGUCAGCGUGGUCCCUGGUCCAGUCGGAGAGGCAGCGGACUCU
This 574-nucleotide small RNA is filed under the name Pongo abelii (Sumatran orangutan). Its description in RNAcentral is "processed transcript". Lineage: Eukaryota; Metazoa; Chordata; Mammalia; Primates; Hominidae. The record is from RNAcentral.